UCUCUGUGAUGUGAAGACAAAAGAAGCAAGUUGCUGGGGAGAGGGAGAGAACUCGUUAGAAAGUGGCUGAUGUAGCUGGAAGAUAUCAGCCAGGUUUUGGCACACAAUCCUUUCUUCACAUCUUCAGCUCAUCAGUUGGGUUAUUGAGAAGAUCAGCUAAAAAGACCUUGGAAAAUGCCACAGACAUCACCUCUCCCAGCUGCGUCUCUCUUUCUUCUGCUUCUCCUGUUUGUCCCUGGCCAGAGUGGUGAAGAAAAUGCAUUUCUUGAACAGUCAACAGACGUGGUUUAUUAAAAGAAACGGCCGUCACGUCAGGCUGGAUGGGAAGACAACCAUUGUAGUGGUGAAAGCUGCUGUGGUUCCACCUGUUAAGUUAGGAAUUAAUAAACAUGGAGCUGGAAUUGUUGAACAGUUGCCACGCAUUGUCGAUAUUCAACAAGGCCAGUCUAUCAGCAUUACCUGUGCAUUGAAUAGUUCAUAUGAAGAUGAAGAGAUCUGCUUGCUCAAGAUUCACAUGCAACCUGAAGGAGUGCUACGUGUUUCAAGUCAGAAAGCUCUAGAAAUCUUUCCUGCUUUUGCUAAUCGCUUGGAGUAUUCAAAGCAAGAGAAGAAACUAGUGAUAACUCUACACAACCUACAGCAAAGUGACAGUGACGUGUAUGUAUGUGCUACGGUGCUGAAAAAUUCCUCUCUCUUCUCAGUGAGUCAAAGAGGCACCAUGGUGCUGGUUAAAGGAGGGGAGGAGACAGCAUUCCAUAAUAGUUCCUGGGCCUACUAUGUUCUUAUCAUCAUGGCAGUGCUGCUGUUUUCUGUGCUGACGUGCUACGCCCUGUACUUUGUCCAUACGAAGAAAUAUUUCCAGAAAAGAAAAACAAAUACAGUGUAUGAAGAUAUGUCUUAUGGUUCUAGACGCAACACCUUCAUCAAACCUAACGUUUACACCAGCGACUCUUAAGCUUCUGUUGGCUGGGACCGUGUAUGGAUCAACUGUUCCCUUCCAGGUGCCUCUGAGAGCCGCCUUGGCAACUUGAUGUAGUAGCUGAACUGAAAAUGCUAUCGUCUACCUUCUUUAGUCGCAGGAAAAAUCUGCCUUAUUUCCAAAGCUGUUUUUACUUAUUUUGGUCACUUGUGAAAUAGCUUUUACUUUUCCAUGUUCAGAACAUGCAUGUACCCUGCACAUUUGUUUGCAGUGUAGUAUGGAAAGCAGUAUUUUUGGAGUGUACAUUUGGCUAGAUGCAAUAUAUGGGAUUGUUUCUGUGAUGAUAGAUAACCCUUUCAGGGAAGGUGAGAUAGUUUGAGAGGUCUCAUUUUGAACUUUCAUAAGGAAGACCAUAACAGGCUUGUUUAAUAAUUUGCAAUGGAUCCACGUAUGAAUGGAGUACAGUUUUCAAAAGAAUCUGUAUGGGGUCUACCCAAAAGCUCUAGUAGCUAAAAUUACUCACAAGUUAAAGCAACAAAAUCUCUUCUGAAGAGAAUUCAGAAACUUUGUGACAAGAGUGCAUUAGAAGUGAGGUGUUAGAUAUGUGUGGGUUUAACUAUUCAAAGAUCAGAACGGUCCCACAAAAAUGCAACCAAGUGUAGAUAUUAAAUUAUUGACCUUGCUGUGCCAAGUCUGCUGCUCAGGAGAGGUCAUUUCCCUUCAAAUGACAGUUGUGAAACCCUGCGUACCAGACUUGAGGGGGAAAUCUGCUCAACCAAAUGGCUGGCAGUUCUGGAUUUCCCUUGUAGCAGAGGGGUGUCUGUUGACUGCAGAACCUGCAAUCAUCGCAUAGUUUUACAUGAAUAAACCAAUGCAGUCUGAUUGUGGAAACUGAUUA
Molecule: long non-coding RNA, 1817 nt
Organism: Anser brachyrhynchus (Pink-footed goose)
Lineage: Eukaryota; Metazoa; Chordata; Aves; Anseriformes; Anatidae
Source: Ensembl